RNAcentral lists this ribosomal RNA (252 nucleotides) under uncultured bacterium. RNAcentral's name for it is "partial 16S ribosomal RNA". It matches the Rfam family "Bacterial small subunit ribosomal RNA", at positions 524 to 776 of the family's 1533-position model. The record is from RNAcentral.
UACGUAGGAUGCGAGCGUUAUCCGGAUUUAUUGGGUUUAAAGGGUGCGUAGGCGGACGCUUAAGUCAGCGGUAAAAUUGCGGGGCUCAACCUCGUCGAGCCGUUGAAACUGGGUGCCUUGAGUGGGCGAGAAGUACGCGGAAUGCGUGGUGUAGCGGUGAAAUGCAUAGAUAUCACGCAGAACUCCGAUUGCGAAGGCAGCGUACCGGCGCCCAACUGACGCUGAAGCACGAAGGCGUGGGUAUCGAACAGG